UGGGGAAUAUUGCACAAUGGGCGCAAGCCUGAUGCAGCCAUGCCGCGUGUGUGAAGAAGGACUUCGGGUUGUAAAGCACUUUCAGCGGGGAGGAAGGCGUUAAGGUUAAUAACCUUGGCGAUUGACGUUACCCGCAGAAGAAGCACCGGCUAACUCCGUGCCAGCAGCCGCGGUAAUACGGAGGGUGCAAGCGUUAAUCGGAAUUACUGGGCGUAAAGCGCACGCAGGCGGUCUGUCAAGUCGGAUGUGAAAUCCCCGGGCUCAACCUGGGAACUGCAUUCGAAACUGGCAGGCUAGAGUCUUGUAGAGGGGGGUAGAAUUCCAGGUGUAGCGAUGAAAUGCGUAGAGAUCUGGAGGAAUACCGGUGGCGAAGGCGGCCCCCUGGACAAAGACUGACGCUCAGGUGCGAAAGCGUGGGGAGCAAACAGG
Molecule: ribosomal RNA, 429 nt
Filed under: Chloroflexota bacterium
Lineage: Bacteria; Bacillati; Chloroflexota
Description: Chloroflexi bacterium partial 16S ribosomal RNA
Rfam family: Bacterial small subunit ribosomal RNA
Source: RNAcentral